UAGGGAAUCUUCCGCAAUGGGCGAAAGCCUGACGGAGCAACGCCGCGUGAGUGAUGAAGGUCUUCGGAUCGUAAAACUCUGUUAUUAGGGAAGAACAAAUGUGUAAGUAACUAUGCACGUCUUGACGGUACCUAAUCAGAAAGCCACGGCUAACUACGUGCCAGCAGCCGCGGUAAUACGUAGGUGGCAAGCAUUAUCCGGAAUUAUUGGGCGUAAAGCGCGCGUAGGCGGUUUUUUAAGUCUGAUGUGAAAGCCCACGGCUCAACCGUGGAGGGUCAUUGGAAACUGGAAAACUUGAGUGCAGAAGAGGAAAGUGGAAUUCCAUGUGUAGCGGUGAAAUGCGCAGAGAUAUGGAGGAACACCAGUGGCGAAGGCGACUUUCUGGUCUGUAACUGACGCUGAUGUGCGAAAGCGUGGGGAUCAAACAGG
RNAcentral lists this ribosomal RNA (429 nucleotides) under Actinomycetes bacterium. RNAcentral's name for it is "Actinobacteria bacterium partial 16S ribosomal RNA". It matches the Rfam family "Bacterial small subunit ribosomal RNA", at positions 355 to 776 of the family's 1533-position model. The record is from RNAcentral. Lineage: Bacteria; Bacillati; Actinomycetota; Actinomycetes.